GCUAAUACCGGAUAACAACAGAUGAUGCCUAUCAACNGUUUAAAAGUAUGGUUCUGCUAUCACUCUUGGAUGGACCUGCGGUGCAUUAGCUAGUUGGUAGGGUAACGGCCUACCAAGGCGAUGAUGCAUAGCCGAGUUGAGAGACUGAUCGGCCACAUUGGGACUGAGACACGGCCCAAACUCCUACGGGAGGCAGCAGCC
RNAcentral lists this ribosomal RNA (201 nucleotides) under uncultured Lactobacillus sp. Its description in RNAcentral is "partial 16S ribosomal RNA". It matches the Rfam family "Bacterial small subunit ribosomal RNA", at positions 162 to 355 of the family's 1533-position model. Lineage: Bacteria; Bacillati; Bacillota; Bacilli; Lactobacillales; Lactobacillaceae. The record is from RNAcentral.